This 243-nucleotide ribosomal RNA is filed under the name uncultured bacterium. Its description in RNAcentral is "partial 16S ribosomal RNA". It matches the Rfam family "Bacterial small subunit ribosomal RNA", at positions 976 to 1216 of the family's 1533-position model. The record is from RNAcentral.
GGCCCUUGACAUGUCUCGUUUGGUUUCCGGAGACGGAUUCCUUCAGUUCGGCUGGCGAGAACACAGGUGCUGCAUGGCUGUCGUCAGCUCGUGUCGUGAGAUGUUGGGUUAAGUCCCGCAACGAGCGCAACCCUCGUCCCUAGUUGCCAUCAUUCAGUUGGGCACUCUAGGGAGACUGCCGGUGAUAAGCCGGAGGAAGGUGGGGAUGACGUCAAGUCCUCAUGGCCCUUACGGGCCGGGCUA